GUAAGGAAUAUUGGACAAUGGACGCAAGUCUGAUCCAGCCAUGCCGCGUGAAGGAUUAAGGUCCUCUGGAUUGUAAACUUCUUUUAUAAGGGACGAAAAAAGGCUUUUCUAAGUCGUCUGACGGUACCUUAUGAAUAAGCACCGGCUAACUCCGUGCCAGCAGCCGCGGUAAUACGGAGGGUGCAAGCGUUAUCCGGAUUCACUGGGUUUAAAGGGUGCGUAGGCGGUCAGGUAAGUCAGUGGUGAAAUCCUAGAGCUUAACUCUAGAACUUCCAUUGAUAAUAUCUGUCUUGAAUAUUGUGGAGGUAAGCGGAAUAUGUCAUGUAGCGGUGAAAUGCUUAGAUAUGACAUAGAACACCUAUUGCGAAGGCAGCUUACUACGCAUAUAUUGACGCUGAGGCACGAAAGCGUGGGGAUCAAACAGGAUUAGAUACCCGGGUAGUCC
This 445-nucleotide ribosomal RNA is filed under the name uncultured bacterium. RNAcentral describes it as "partial 16S ribosomal RNA". It matches the Rfam family "Bacterial small subunit ribosomal RNA", at positions 354 to 796 of the family's 1533-position model. The record is from RNAcentral.